GGAUAGCUCAGUGGUAGAGUGCAUGCUUAGCAAGCAUGACAUCCUGGGUUUAAUCCCCAGGAUCUCCA
RNAcentral lists this transfer RNA (68 nucleotides) under Camelus bactrianus (Bactrian camel). It matches the Rfam family "tRNA". Rfam says of the family: Transfer RNA (tRNA) molecules are approximately 80 nucleotides in length. Their secondary structure includes four short double-helical elements and three loops (D, anti-codon, and T loops). Further hydrogen bonds mediate the characteristic L-shaped molecular structure. tRNAs have two regions of fundamental functional importance: the anti-codon, which is responsible for specific mRNA codon recognition, and the 3' end, to which the tRNAs corresponding amino acid is attached (by aminoacyl-tRNA synthetases). tRNAs cope with the degeneracy of the genetic code in two manners: having more than one tRNA (with a specific anti-codon) for a particular amino acid; and 'wobble' base-pairing, i.e. permitting non-standard base-pairing at the 3rd anti-codon position. Lineage: Eukaryota; Metazoa; Chordata; Mammalia; Artiodactyla; Camelidae. The record is from Rfam by way of RNAcentral. RNAcentral also lists the same sequence under 1 other name.